UGGGGGAUCGUUCAGCGGCAGGACGACGGGUUCUGGCCCCGUUAACCCAGGUUCGAAUCCUGGUCCCCCAGCCA
This 74-nucleotide transfer RNA is filed under the name Deltaproteobacteria bacterium. RNAcentral's name for it is "tRNA-Gln". It matches the Rfam family "tRNA". Rfam says of the family: Transfer RNA (tRNA) molecules are approximately 80 nucleotides in length. Their secondary structure includes four short double-helical elements and three loops (D, anti-codon, and T loops). Further hydrogen bonds mediate the characteristic L-shaped molecular structure. tRNAs have two regions of fundamental functional importance: the anti-codon, which is responsible for specific mRNA codon recognition, and the 3' end, to which the tRNAs corresponding amino acid is attached (by aminoacyl-tRNA synthetases). tRNAs cope with the degeneracy of the genetic code in two manners: having more than one tRNA (with a specific anti-codon) for a particular amino acid; and 'wobble' base-pairing, i.e. permitting non-standard base-pairing at the 3rd anti-codon position. RNAcentral also lists the same sequence under 1 other name. The record is from RNAcentral. Lineage: Bacteria; Pseudomonadati; Myxococcota; Myxococcia.